RNAcentral lists this ribosomal RNA (432 nucleotides) under Escherichia coli. RNAcentral describes it as "bacterial SSU rRNA". It matches the Rfam family "Bacterial small subunit ribosomal RNA", at positions 51 to 484 of the family's 1533-position model. The record is from RNAcentral. Lineage: Bacteria; Pseudomonadati; Pseudomonadota; Gammaproteobacteria; Enterobacterales; Enterobacteriaceae.
CCUUGGGCAAGGUCGAACGGUAACAGGAAGCAGCUUGCUGCUUUGCUGACGAGUGGCGGACGGGUGAGUAAUGUCUGGGAAACUGCCUGAUGGAGGGGGAUAACUACUGGAAACGGUAGCUAAUACCGCAUAACGUCGCAAGACCAAAGAGGGGGACCUUCGGGCCUCUUGCCAUCGGAUGUGCCCAGAUGGGAUUAGCUAGUAGGUGGGGUAACGGCUCACCUAGGCGACGAUCCCUAGCUGGUCUGAGAGGAUGACCAGCCACACUGGAACUGAGACACGGUCCAGACUCCUACGGGAGGCAGCAGUGGGGAAUAUUGCACAAUGGGCGCAAGCCUGAUGCAGCCAUGCCGCGUGUAUGAAGAAGGGCUUCGGGUUGUAAAGUACUUUCAACGAGGAAGAAAGGAAUAAAGUUAAUACCUUUACUCAUUG